This 98-nucleotide microRNA precursor is filed under the name Daucus carota subsp. sativus. RNAcentral's name for it is "sRNA DCAR_mi00188". It matches the Rfam family "MIR167 microRNA precursor family". Lineage: Eukaryota; Viridiplantae; Streptophyta; Magnoliopsida; Apiales; Apiaceae. The record is from RNAcentral.
CAAUGGCAAUAGUUGAAGCUGCCAGCAUGAUCUAAUCAACUUUGAGUUUUCAGUCCAAGGUAAGAUUAGAUCAUGUGGUUGCUUCACCCGUUGUUAGU